RNAcentral lists this long non-coding RNA (567 nucleotides) under Mytilus galloprovincialis (Mediterranean mussel). Lineage: Eukaryota; Metazoa; Mollusca; Bivalvia; Mytilida; Mytilidae. The record is from RNAcentral.
AGAGGUUUCCAGAUUUGCUACCGUACCAACCGUAGUACGAAGUGGGAGCCGUCAUUUAACUUUUGAAAAUUAUUGAUGCAUACACUUUAUAUCAACACAUGUUUUAGGAAUCAUAUGCAGAACUGUUUUGAGAAUUUUUAGCUGUAAUUUGGGACUAAUUUCAUGUGGUUUCUUCUUGUAUUCGUAGGAAACAAUAGUGUGUGCACUCGAUUAUGCUUUCAAGCAACCGUUGCAAGUAACCGUUGGUACGAAAGGUUUAUAGUUAAGAGUUAUUUCCCCGUGAAACUACAUAGAUACAAAGAAGCUAAAUUACAAAACAAAUUUAAAACUUUAUAAAUUUUGUUUGUAAUAACUUUAUGUAUCAUUGUAAAAUGUUAAAGUUUUGUAUUUAUUUUGGUAAGUUUUUAGAAAACAUGAUCAAAUAAAAUGAAUUUGAACAAAAUAAAUUGACCUUAAUAACAAAAGAAAAAUGACAAAACUAAUAUAAAACCAAAUCGUUGUUCAGUCUGUACGCGUGAGGUCUAAAACCCUUGUCAAUGGAUAUUGAAUCAAGAUAAAAAAAAAAAA